GCUUGUACAAACAGGUUUUGACACAUUAGCUGGUUAGGAUAAUUACCUACUUUCACUACCUGUGGGCUGUGGGACUGGGACUCCAACCCAAACUCACAAAUCCAACUGAGAGCUGACCAGUGCGGUAUAUUGACGACUCUGUCUCAGUCGGACUCAGUCAGUCAUCUAUGUCUUUUCUUUUUAUCACUUCCAAAGCUCAAGUUCUAUGUUGAAAAUAAUUCUUGUGGGGAAAAAAAUGGAAAAUCAAAUAGAGGGUUGGGGUUUCAGUGGAAUUUUAAUUACUGUUAUAUUAAGAACCCGCAGCCCCCUGUUUGAAUUGUUCUGAAGAAGGGGUUUGAUAUUUUCAUUUUUCAAAAGCAGUUUCUUUUUUAAUCUUUUUGUAUUUUCAAUUUUAACUUUUGUGAUUUUUUAACUCUUUUUUAUUUCCUUUUAUGUAUUUGGUUAUCGAGUGUUUUGCCUACUGCCUAGUGACUGUAACAUAACCUGUUUUCUUGUUGAAGAAAGAAUAGAAGAAUGUCGUUCUUUCCUGGAAAUAAAAUAGAUUAAAAAACAAGUGUUUGUAGCUUUUUUAUUUUAUUUUAUGAAAUAAAUAAGUCAUUGCCCUUUUUUUUGGAUUAUUUAAAAUACAGGUAAUUACUGUGCUUUUUUGUUUGAAGAAUUAUUAAUUCUAGAAAAAUUUCAUAUUUAGCUUAUCAUUGGUAUGGAUUUAUUCCUCUAAUAGUAUAUUUGAGUGUUCUAUGAUAUUGUUUUGUUCCAUUAUUAAUAUUAGGAGAAGUAUUUAGUGCUUCUAUGGGUUUUUAUUUUUUUCUUCAGCAGUAUUUUCUCUGUCUAAAGGCCCUGUAUUUCAUGUGUUGAUUGUUUGGUGUAGAUUACUUUUGAUAGCAAUUUGAUGAGGUUUUAAAGAUUAUAGGUGUUAAAUAACCCAAUUUAUUUAAAUGCACCCAUGGAUUGUAUUUUGAGCAGAUUAACUGAAAAGCUUGGUAGAAUUUAGGCAACGAAGUAAGUCUGUCAGAAAUUUAAAAUUGGUUUGGGAAUCAGUUGUCUACUAAAUAAAUGUUUGUGGAUACAUGCAUUGAUUCUCAAUUAUGUUAUUGAUUUUGGGAUGCUCCGAGUUCUUGUAGCUCUUUGCUAAUGGAAAAUGUUUUUGCUUUUGGGCAAGGAUAGAAAGCUAAAGUUCUCUGGCACUGCAGUGUUCUAGCUCUUUUUUGGGUUACGUGGCAACAUUGUAUUUUUUAAGAUAAGGGGGAAGACCAAGUUUCUUGCCAGUUGGCAGUGCGAUGUUCACUUUUUGUCAUCUGUUUGGACUUAGUUUGGAAGGGCUAGCUUUUUACAUGGUUCUAUAUCUACGACUAAGCUUAGAGAUUGAGAGCAUAAUCUUGAUAAUGCUAGUUCCUGAAACUUCGAUGAGAAUGAGCUAUUUUGUGCGUGAGUGAGUGUGUGUAUAUAUCUUAG
Molecule: long non-coding RNA, 1452 nt
Filed under: Citrus sinensis (sweet orange)
Lineage: Eukaryota; Viridiplantae; Streptophyta; Magnoliopsida; Sapindales; Rutaceae
Description: long non-coding RNA (CSIN_LNC003839)
Source: RNAcentral